UACGUAGGAUGCAAGCGUUGUCCGGAAUUAUUGGGCGUAAAGGGUGCGCAGGCGGUUUUUCAAGUCAGAUGUGAAAUAUCCCGGCUUAACUGGGAGGGGCCAUUUGAAACUGAAAGACUAGAGUGCAGGAGAGGAUAGCGGAAUUCCCGGUGUAGUGGUGAAAUGCGUAGAUAUCGGGAGGAAUACCGGUGGCGAAGGCGGCAUCCUGGACCGACAUUGACGCUGAGGAGCGAAAGCUAGGGGAGCAAACGGG
Molecule: ribosomal RNA, 253 nt
Filed under: uncultured bacterium
Lineage: Bacteria
Description: partial 16S ribosomal RNA
Rfam family: Bacterial small subunit ribosomal RNA
Source: RNAcentral